Molecule: transfer RNA, 69 nt
Filed under: Bathyprion danae (fangtooth smooth-head)
Lineage: Eukaryota; Metazoa; Chordata; Actinopteri; Alepocephaliformes; Alepocephalidae
Description: tRNA-Trp
Rfam family: tRNA
About the family: Transfer RNA (tRNA) molecules are approximately 80 nucleotides in length.
Source: RNAcentral
GGGGCUUAGGAUAACAUUAGACCAAGGGCCUUCAAAGCCCUAAGUAGGGGUGAAAAUCCCCUAGCCCCU